Molecule: ribosomal RNA, 465 nt
Filed under: uncultured bacterium
Lineage: Bacteria
Description: bacterial SSU rRNA
Rfam family: Bacterial small subunit ribosomal RNA
Source: RNAcentral
CCUACGGGUUGCACCAGUGGGGAAUAUUGCACAAUGGGCGCAAGCCUGAUGCAGCCAUGCCGCGUGUGUGAAGAAGGCCUUCGGGUUGUAAAGCACUUUCAGCGGGGAGGAAGGCGUUAAGGUUAAUAACCUUAGCGAUUGACGUUACCAACAGAAGAAGCACCGGCUAACUCCGUGCCAGCAGCCGCGGUAAUACGGAGGGUGCAAGCGUUAAUCGGAAUUACUGGGCGUAAAGCGCACGCAGGCGGUUGAUUAAGUUAGAUGUGAAAUCCCCGGGCUUAACCUGGGAAUGGCAUCUAAGACUGGUCAGCUAGAGUCUUGUAGAGGGGGGUAGAAUUCCAUGUGUAGCGGUGAGAUGCGUAGAGAUGUGGAGGAAUACCGGUGGCGAAGGCAGCCCCCUGGACAAAGACUGACGCUCAGGUGCGAAAGCGUGGGGAGCAAACAGGAUUAGAUACCCCUGUAGUC